AUUGAACGCUGGCGGCAGGCUUAACACAUGCAAGUCGAACGAGUGGCGGACGGGUGAGUAAUGCUUGGGAAUCUGGCUUAUGGAGGGGGAUAACGACGGGAAACUGUCGCUAAUACCGCGUACCAUAGGAUGAGCCCAAGUGGGAUUAGGUAGUUGGUGGGGUAAUGGCCUACCAAGCCGACGAUCUCUAGCUGGUAUGAGAGGAUUACCGACCAAACCAGGACGGAGACACGGCCCGUACUCCUGCGGAUGGCAGCAGUGGGGAAUAUUGCGCAAUAGGGGGUACCGGACGCAGCCGUGCCGCGUUAAUGAAGAAGGCCUUCGGGGUGUAAAAUUCUAUCGGUGACGAAGCGCGAAUCACAGAAGAAGCAACGGCUAACUCCGUGCCAGCAGCCGCGGUAAUAC
This 405-nucleotide ribosomal RNA is filed under the name uncultured bacterium. RNAcentral describes it as "partial 16S ribosomal RNA". It matches the Rfam family "Bacterial small subunit ribosomal RNA", at positions 30 to 526 of the family's 1533-position model. The record is from RNAcentral.